This is an RNA transcript of Tachyglossus aculeatus (Australian echidna), 2745 nucleotides long. It is a transcript of the gene named armadillo repeat containing 10, with no coding region annotated. The record is from RefSeq and is a predicted model, not a curated record. NCBI's taxonomy places the organism in Eukaryota, Metazoa, Chordata, Mammalia, Monotremata, Tachyglossidae. The transcript has 7 exons.
AUGGGGACGGCGGCGCGUGCGUCGGUGUGGUUGUGGGGCGCAGUGUUGGGGGCAGGAGCCUGCUACUGCGCCUACCGGCUGGCGCGGCACGAGCGCGGCAGAGGCUUCUCGGGCCGCCCCGUCAGGCCAGGUAACGCCAACAUUCCCAAAUCACCCGGUAGUCUAGAAGCGCAGGAUUUGCAGAAACUCAUUCGUUUGCUCGAGGCUGAGGAUCCGCUCGUUCGGGAGAAAGCCUUGAUCACUUUGGGCAACAGUGCCGCCUUCUCAGCCAACCAGGAAAUCAUACGGGAUUUUGGAGGCCUCCCGGCUAUUGGGAACCUGCUCGACGAUCCCACCCCCAAGGUGAAGGAGAAGGCCUUAGAUGCCCUCAAUAACCUGAGCAUGAAUUUGCGAAAUCAGGAAGAGAUUAAGGUGUUCGUCGGCAAAGUCUGCGAGGAGACCCUGUCCUCUCCUUUGAACUCAGCGCUCCAGCUAGCCGGACUGCGAUUAUUGACCAACAUGUCCGUCACCAACGACUACCAGCACCUGGUGUCGGAUUCGAUUUCCGACUUCCUCCAUCUGCUCUCAGCAGGAAAUGAAAACACCCAGGUUCAAGUUUUGAAAGUGCUUGUGAAUUUGUCUGCGAAUCCAGCCAUGACCAAAGAGCUUCUCAGCGCCCAGGCACCUCCGUCUCUGAUUUCCCUCUUCAACGGCAGCGUGGCGCGAGAGGUCCUCCUUCGCGUCGUUAGGCUGGUCGCCAAUUUAAAUGACCACGUGGGCCGCGAGGAGGUCGUCACGGCUCGUCGGCGUCCGCUCUCCGAGGAUUCGCUUUUUGCUCUCCUGUAUGGAGAGACUGGCCUGGGCGCCCAGAAACUGACUGCUUUGACCCACCAUCCCGACCCAGAAGUGAGAGAGCAAAUCGCCAGGAUCACAGCCGUUGGGAUGUGACCCAUCAGACGUUCCCGGAGGACUCUUCCCGGAGUUCCCAGGGGGGCAAAACUGAGGAGGAAAUGGCCCUUCUGAAGCCCGGUGCGAGUGAGGUGUGUGGGGACAACCCGUUUUCUGAGGUAUCCCGAGUAACGGAAUCCCACGCCAGAUGUGUACAUUCUGCGAAGUAUUUUGUUGUAAUGUGCGGUCGUCCUUGUCUGCCCACCAAUCGUCCGGCAUCAUUCACCAAGCCUCCUAACCGCACGGAUGCGAGUCGUGUCCCAGAGAGCCAAGAACAUAGUAAAUUGAAUGAAAUUCCCAGCGGGACCGUCUUUACUCAUUUCUUAUGCUGUUGUGGGGAAAGGCAUUAAAGGACAAGCUAGAGGAGAGGCAGAGAAACACACACACACACCCCAUAUGCACACUUUCCUAGAUACAUUCACUUUUAUGCAUUUGGUGAUGAUGGUGGUAGUUGUUUAGCACUUACUAUGUGUCAAGCACUUCUACCUGCUGGAGUAGAUACAAGCUAAUCAGCCCCCCACUCCCGUGCACACUGUCACACAUACACACACACGCAAAAACACUCUCUCCUUCAUACACACACAGGCACCAGUGCAGUAUAAACCUUGGUUGCAGCAAUGGCCUUGAGAGCCCGCUUCCUCCCCCUUCUGCUCCAUCAAUCGAUCAGCCGUAUAAAUACCGAGCGCUUCCUGUGUGCACAGCACUGUACUAAGCGCUGUGGAAGGGUACAGUACAACAGACUUGAUUAAAAAUGAUCCCUACCCUCAAGGAGCUUACAAGUCUACAAGGAGAAAUAAAAACUAACAAACAAUUACAGAUGAGGAAAACGGUAGAGCAUAAAAAACAUCAAACUCACAUUUUGAGUCCCUGCUAUAAUUUUCGGCCCGUGUCACCUAACGAAGAAUGUGUACUUCAUGUAGGCCGUAGCCAGACUGUCGCCUAGGGAGGUGGAUGAAAGGAAGAAUCGUCCUGAUAAAACCCAGAAAAAUCAGAGGUAUUUCAUGUUAGAGAAAAUGGCUAUGAGGUCAUUUCAACUAUGCCAGGUUAAAAAAAAAAAAAUUACCAAAUUCAUUUUAAUGACUCUAGAUGGGCCACGGGAUGAGGAAAUGUCAGCCGGAAGAAAUCAGUAGAACUGUUUUAUGGAGAAAGUGGUGAAUGAGAAGACUAGAUUUCCACCAUUAUUUCCACACUGGCCACCCACGAGUAGUGACUACGAGGCUAAAAACCGAAUCAUAGCUUUUAAAGUCUUGGAGUUCCCUGUGGUCAGUCACACAUGUAGGUUUUCUGACAGAAGGACAGAUUUCUACUCUAAUGGCUCGCCAGAGAUCCUUCACAGCUCACGCUCCCCCAGCCCUUCACUGUCCUGGUGGGUUUGGGUUGGUGGCAGUGAAUUAAUCCAAGGGGGCAUUUGCCCUUUCCUGCCAGCAUAAAGGCACAAAGCAGAGAUGAGAGCUAAAGGUGUUAGUGAACCUCACAUAAUGUCUCCCCGAGGUUAUCUCCUCAACUAAAAAUGAAAAAAGAAGGCAAAUGCUAGGGUUACAUCCAGAGAGCCUCAUGGCUCAAGAGCAAGUUCUUGCUAAAAAGUACCAGGUUGGACUCUUCUAUUCCAGUCAGUCUGAGCAUUUACAUCACCUUUGAGCACUUAGUUCAGCGUACACAUUAACCAACAACCGGAAUCAAAGUAGGUUGCCUGUUCUGCAAAGUGUUACCCACUGAUUUUAAAAAAAAAAAGAUGUUUCCAAAUGUAAAGAGAAGCAUACCCUUCGGUAAAAUUCUGUCUCUCAUUUUGCAUUUCAGUUGUAAAUGCAUCAACACUUA